RNAcentral lists this ribosomal RNA (497 nucleotides) under uncultured bacterium. Its description in RNAcentral is "partial 16S ribosomal RNA". It matches the Rfam family "Bacterial small subunit ribosomal RNA", at positions 28 to 507 of the family's 1533-position model. The record is from RNAcentral.
GAUGAACGCUGGCGGCGUGCCUAAUGCAUGCAAGUCGAGCGAACAGAUGAGGAGCUUGCUCCUCUGACGUUAGCGGCGGACGGGUGAGUAACACGUGGAUAACCUACCUAUAAGACUGGGAUAACUUCGGGAAACCGGAGCUAAUACCGGAUAAUAUAUUGAACCGCAUGGUUCAAUAGUGAAAGACGGUUUUGCUGUCACUUAUAGAUGGAUCCGCGCCGCAUUAGCUAGUUGGUAAGGUAACGGCUUACCAAGGCGACGAUGCGUAGCCGACCUGAGAGGGUGAUCGGCCACACUGGAACUGAGACACGGUCCAGACUCCUACGGGAGGCAGCAGUAGGGAAUCUUCCGCAAUGGGCGAAAGCCUGACGGAGCAACGCCGCGUGAGUGAUGAAGGUCUUCGGAUCGUAAAACUCUGUUAUUAGGGAAGAACAAAUGUGUAAGUAACUAUGCACGUCUUGACGGUACCUAAUCAGAAAGCCACGGCUAACUACGUG